Molecule: ribosomal RNA, 305 nt
Filed under: uncultured bacterium
Lineage: Bacteria
Description: bacterial SSU rRNA
Rfam family: Bacterial small subunit ribosomal RNA
Source: RNAcentral
UGGAUCCUACGGGGCGCAGCAGUGAGGAAUAUUGGUCAAUGGUCGGGAGACUGAACCAGCCACGCCGCGUGAGGGAUGAAGGUACAGAGUAUCGUAAACCUCUUUUGUCAGGGAACAAAGGCGGGGACGUGUCCCCGGAUGAGUGUACCUGAAGAAAAAGCAUCGGCUAACUCCGUGCCAGCAGCCGCGGUAAUACGGAGGAUGCGAGCGUUAUCCGGAUUUAUUGGGUUUAAAGGGUGCGUAGGCGGAACAUUAAGUCAGCGGUAAAAUCGAGGGGCUCAACCCCUUUAAGCCGUUGAAACUGG